Molecule: ribosomal RNA, 590 nt
Filed under: uncultured Lachnospiraceae bacterium
Lineage: Bacteria; Bacillati; Bacillota; Clostridia; Lachnospirales; Lachnospiraceae
Description: bacterial SSU rRNA
Rfam family: Bacterial small subunit ribosomal RNA
Source: RNAcentral
UGCAAGUCGAACGAAGCACUUUAAUCGAUUUCUUCGGAUUGAAAUUUUAGUGACUGAGUGGCGGACGGGUGAGUAACGCGUGGGUAACCUGCCCUGUACAGGGGGAUAACAGCUGGAAACGGCUGCUAAUACCGCAUAAGCGCACGAGGAGACAUCUCCUUGUGUGAAAAACUCCGGUGGUACAGGAUGGGCCCGCGUCUGAUUAGCUGGUUGGCAGGGUAACGGCCUACCAAGGCAACGAUCAGUAGCCGACCUGAGAGGGUGACCGGCCACAUUGGGACUGAGACACGGCCCAAACUCCUACGGGAGGCAGCAGUGGGGAAUAUUGCACAAUGGGGGAAACCCUGAUGCAGCGACGCCGCGUGAGCGAUGAAGUAUUUCGGUAUGUAAAGCUCUAUCAGCAGGGAAGAAAAUGACGGUACCUGACUAAGAAGCACCGGCUAAAUACGUGCCAGCAGCCGCGGUAAUACGUAUGGUGCAAGCGUUAUCCGGAUUUACUGGGUGUAAAGGGAGCGUAGACGGAGUGGCAAGUCUGAUGUGAAAACCCGGGGCUCAACCCCGGGACUGCAUUGGAAACUGUCAAUCUAGAG